CCUACGGGAGGCAGCAGUGGGGAAUCUUGCGCAAUGGGCGAAAGCCUGACGCAGCCAUGCCGCGUGAAUGAUGAAGGUCUUAGGAUUGUAAAAAUUCUUUCACCGGGGACGAUAAUGACGGUACCCGGAGAAGAAGCCCCGGCUAACUUCGUGCCAGCAGCCGCGGUAAUACGAAGGGGGGCUAGCGUUGCUCGGAAUUACUGGGCGUAAAGGGAGCGUAGGCGGAUAGUUUAGUCAGAGGUGAAAGCCCAGGGCUCAACCUUGGAAUUGCCUUUGAUACUGGCUAUCUUGAGUAUGGGAGAGGUUAGCGGAACUCCGAGUGUAGAGGUGAAAUUCGUAGAUAUUCGGAAGAACACCAGUGGCGAAGGCGGCUAACUGGCCCAUUACUGACGCUGAGGCUCGAAAGCGUGGGGAGCAAACAGGAUUAGAUACCCUGGUAGUCCACGCCGUAAACGAUGAGUGCUAAUUGUCGGUCGAUGCAUGCAUGUCGGUGACGCAGCUAACGCAUUAAGCACUCCGCCUGGGGAGUACGGUCGCAAGAUUAAAACUUAAAUGAAUUGACGG
RNAcentral lists this ribosomal RNA (564 nucleotides) under uncultured bacterium. Its description in RNAcentral is "bacterial SSU rRNA". It matches the Rfam family "Bacterial small subunit ribosomal RNA", at positions 338 to 916 of the family's 1533-position model. The record is from RNAcentral.